UACGUAGGGUGCAAGCGUUGUCCGGAAUUAUUGGGCGUAAAGAGCUCGUAGGCGGUUUGUCGCGUCUGCUGUGAAAACUCGGGGCUUAACCCUGGGCCUGCAGUGGGUACGGGCAGACUAGAGUGCGGUAGGGGAGACUGGAAUUCCUGGUGUAGCGGUGAAAUGCGUAGAUAUCAGGAGGAACACCGGUGGCGAAGGCGCUCAUCUGGCCCAAUACUGACGCUGAGGCGCGAAAGCGUGGGGAGCGAACAGG
RNAcentral lists this ribosomal RNA (253 nucleotides) under uncultured bacterium. Its description in RNAcentral is "partial 16S ribosomal RNA". It matches the Rfam family "Bacterial small subunit ribosomal RNA", at positions 524 to 776 of the family's 1533-position model. The record is from RNAcentral.